AGAGUUUGAUCAUGGCUCAGAGCGAACGUUAGCGGCAGUAACACAUGCAAGUCGCACGAGAAUCCGGCUUCGGCCGGUAGUAAAGUGGCGGACGGGUGCGUAACACGUGGAUAAUCUGCCCUCUGGCGGGGGACAACAGUCCGAAAGGAUUGCUAAUACCGCAUAAGUCGGCGAGGUCUUCGGAUCUCGCCGGGAAAGGUGGCCUCUUCAUGAAAGCUACCACCGGAGGAUGAGUCCGCGGCCCAUCAGCUAGUUGGCGGGGUAAUGGCCCACCAAGGCUUAGACGGGUAGCUAGUCUGAGAGGAUGAUCAGCCACACUGGGACUGAGACACGGCCCAGACUCCUACGGGAGGCAGCAGUGGGGAAUAUUGGGCAAUGGGCGCAAGCCUGACCCAGCCAUGCCGCGUGAGUGAUGAAGGCCUUCGGGUCGUAAAGCUCUGUGGGGAGGGAAGAAACAGCUUGUGGCUAACAUCCACGAGCCCUGACGGUACCUCCUUAGCAAGCACCGGCUAACUCCGUGCCAGCAGCCGCGGUAAUACGGAGGGUGCAAACGUUGCUCGGAAUCAUUGGGCGUAAAGCGCACGUAGGCGGCUCGUUAAGUCGGAUGUGAAAUCCCUGGGCUCAACCCAGGAAGUGCAUUCGAAACUAGCGAGCUUGAAUAUGGAAGAGGGUCGCGGAAUUCCCGGUGUAGAGGUGAAAUUCGUAGAUAUCGGGAGGAACACCAGUGGCGAAGGCGGCGACCUGGGCCAAUAUUGACGCUGAGGUGCGAAAGCGUGGGGAGCAAACAGGAUUAGAUACCCUAGUAGUCC
This 809-nucleotide ribosomal RNA is filed under the name uncultured bacterium. Its description in RNAcentral is "bacterial SSU rRNA". It matches the Rfam family "Bacterial small subunit ribosomal RNA", at positions 8 to 796 of the family's 1533-position model. The record is from RNAcentral.